GUUUUUUAACAAAACCUCUGGGAGCGCUGGUGGUAACCAGGCAUUCUCCUCUUCCCCAGAAAGCCACUCAGUCCAUCUGCAGUCCCACAAGCAACUUCACACUCCGCCCCUGCAUGCUGACAGCCAAACUCCUCGGUGCUCCCUUUGUCUAUAGAUGAAACUGCCUGAUAGAUUUUUAUGGCGGAAGGAAAGGAAAAUGACAGAUGCUCCAGGCCGCGCCCUUUGUUGCCAAAUAGGGGCUUUGUGGUGCAGUUUGAAAAACAGCAAUGCUUUGAUCUUGAGAUUUGCUGUAAGAAUACUCUAAAAUACAGUUGUUACAGGGAAGAUACAGAGGGUUGGAGACAAUUAAACUAUUCACUUAAAACUGCUCUUCUCUGCUACUGUGUGCGGAAG
Molecule: long non-coding RNA, 393 nt
Filed under: Chrysolophus pictus (golden pheasant)
Lineage: Eukaryota; Metazoa; Chordata; Aves; Galliformes; Phasianidae
Description: lncRNA (ENSCPIG00010004691.1)
Source: RNAcentral